Molecule: ribosomal RNA, 459 nt
Filed under: uncultured bacterium
Lineage: Bacteria
Description: partial 16S ribosomal RNA
Rfam family: Bacterial small subunit ribosomal RNA
Source: RNAcentral
CCUACGGGUGGCAGCAGUGAGGAAUAUUGGUCAAUGGCCGAGAGGCUGAACCAGCCAAGUCGCGUGAGGGAAGACGGCCCUACGGGUUGUAAACCUCUUUUGUCGGGGAGCAAAACGAUUCACGUGUGACUCUUUGAGAGUACCCGAAGAAAAAGCAUCGGCUAACUCCGUGCCAGCAGCCGCGGUAAUACGGAGGACGCGAGCGUUAUCCGGAUUUAUUGGGCUUAAAGGGUGCGAAGGCGGGCGUUCAAGUCAGCGGUAAAAUCGCGGGGCUCAACCCCGUACUGCAGUUGAAACUGGAUGCCUUGAGUGCGCGAGAGGUAGGCGGAAUGCGUGGUGUAGCGGUGAAAUGCAGAGAUAGCACGCAGAACCCCGAUUGCGAAGGCAGCAUACCGGCGUGCGACUGACGCUCAUGCAUGAAAGCGUGGGUAUCGAACAGGAUUAGAUACCCCAGUAGUC